This is a long non-coding RNA of Oreochromis niloticus (Nile tilapia), 2620 nucleotides long. The record is from Ensembl. NCBI's taxonomy places the organism in Eukaryota, Metazoa, Chordata, Actinopteri, Cichliformes, Cichlidae.
CUUGUUUUUGAUGUAUCGUUUGCAUAUUUUUUUGCCACUGAUAUAAUAUAUUUUGUGCCCUUAUUUAGGAUGAUGAGUGUUGUACUUAGUUAAUAUAUUUAUUCAAACUACUCCCAAUUUCAUCUCUUUUUUUUUGCUUUUGUUUUAACUUACUUUUUUCAGUUGCAUACUCUUUAAAGGUCCUGUAUAAACAAAGCUAUUAAUAUUGAUGCAAAAUAAGACAGUGUUUGUUUUAACUUUCACUUCCUUGUGGCUCUACAGCCUAAGAGAACCUCUGCACGGCUGGCAUCAAAACCGAAACCUGCAGCAGUGGAGGCUAAGAAAAAGGCUGUUGCAAAGAGGGCACCCAAAACAAAGAAAGCCAAACCCGCUGAGAAUGGGAGCACCAAGGCUGAGGAGCCCAAGGCUGAAGCCACUGAAGCCAAAUGAAUAGUGGUUGAUGUGCUCACUCUGUGUACUUGGUGAUUGUACAGUUUUAAAUAAGUAUUUUUUACCAAGUUUUAUAUUACAAAUGUCAUUUAUAGUUUUGUUUUUGGCUUGCACUUGAUGUAACAAAAUUUUGUUUUCACAUUCAUAUCCAUUUUAUAUCAAUCUUAAAAACGGAUACCGUCCAUAUCCUGUAGUUGUGGCAUUUUUUAGUUUGUCUAAUCCAGAUUUGUUUUAAACUUCUAAACAACAGAUGUAACAGCUUUUCCAACAAGUUGGAUUUUGAAUCUAAUUGUAAACAUAAGGCAGCUAAAGCAUAAAAUUUUGCAGGAGAAUAUGAAUUUGCCGUUUAUCUCCUUGUAGUGUAAUGUUGAACUAAUAAAAUUAUUGCUUUCCAAAUGUUUUAAAAACAUUGUAUGUUGAUGUAAAAUGCCACAGACAAAAAAAAGAAUACUGUUAUUAGGUCAAAAAAAUGUUUAAGUUUGAUGCGUCCCAAAAACAUGGCUGAUGUGAACCCAGUCAUCUGAUAAAAACUUCUGUUAAGUUAUGUUUCUGUUUUCUGCUUUUCUGACUCCAAUGGUUGAUCUUAAUGUUCUUGAAUAAAAAUUUUCAAAAUGUCCUUUUUGGGGUCACUGUUGAGAUGGAAAUCCUCGAUGAAGGAACAGAAAAAUGGAAAUGCUGCGACACAACGUUUGAAAAGGUGAUGCGGCGACCUUGAAAAGGUUUCAUCAUAAACAAACUGCAGGCUCCACCAUUUUGGCAGGACAUCCAUUUUAGAUAGUUUACAUCCACGGGGUCUCAUCCCUACUUGUGACUGCUCGGGUAUUGCUGUUAGGCUCGGCUUUCUAUUUUCAACAGGCUAGUUAAUUUUCACACUUCUCUAUGUGGAAAUGUUACUGGUAUAAUUUGUAAUUUAAUAUAACUUGUUACUAAAUUAUCACCCAAGGAUUGGCACUUAAAUGUUUUAAACAUUUAAGGUUGUCAUGUACAUGAAAUUUUAAGCUGCUACUAGUGUUUUUUGUACCUGUCUUGGGUAUGUUUAAACUUGUUAGCACUAUAAUCUAAUGAGAGAAAAAAUAAACCUUAAGUCAAGGUGAUCUCAUUGCAUUAACCAUUAAAAUACAAAAAGUGUGAUAUGCAAAAUGUUUAUCGGUAAUUUGAGCAAUCAUUAAUGUAGAGCGCUAGAAAAAUAUUUUAUUCAAGUGGAAGUUAUCUCACCAAAGCCUACAACACAUGGGCCUUAAAGCUAUACACUAAAUAAACAAAUGCCACAUUUGAUCACCAACUUAAACACAACAGUGUAUAUUACUGUCACCUAAAAACUAUAAAUUUAAAGAAUUCAAAAUUCGCCACUUAAGUCCAAUAAAAAUAAUCAGUGUAUAGUCACAGAUUCAUUUAAGAAUUUAUUGCAUUCACCUUUAAACUUAAAGGUGCCUUUUAAUUUUGUAUGUUUUUAGCUCGUUCUUUGCUCUUCCACAUUUUGUAUUGGAGUCCAGGUCUAAAGCAUAGGCUGUCUAAAAUGCAGUCUAAAAUAGUGUUAAUUUUCAUGUGUGUAUUAUCUCAGCUAACAGGCUGUUAAAAACCAUCAGAUCAAUGUAAUUUUAACUUAAUAAAUCUUAGUGAGUUUUAGUUUUCACUUCAAUUGGAAUAUUUUACAUAACAGUAUCCUACUGGAUGUUGACGCUCCAGGGGCUUAAACCUCUGGAAAUCCUCAUCGCUGUCUUUGCUCCACAGCACCAGCAGGAGUCAGUGCCACAUCACCACAGAGAGAUGAGGUGCAUAUCGUUGUUCCUGCGGGGGUCUCCCUCUCCUUUGGCCUAUACAGCUCGUGAAACUCGGUCAAACAUGACGCAUUAUUGAGGGUGCUGACGUAUCUCUGAGGAUGUCAUCCUUUUUUUUAGGCUAGUGUAUUAGUGCUUCUAUACAGACAAAGCAGCCAGUGCUAAUAAUAUUCAAAUAUGGUGCAGGUUUAAUCUUUCUUUCUUUUUCUUUCUUUCAUUCGUAACAGGCAAUACAGAGCAAGGCAAAAGUACAAUUGAUUUUAUUAGUUUAAAUUAUUCCAAAAAUAUGUAUAACAGGUUUACCACACUUUUCAGAGUAAUGCUCAGAAUUCAUUGUUGAAUAAUCUGUAUAAAAUAUUGGUUUUUGAUCUGAGAGACAGACGUUUUCAUGGAAAUGGAAGGUUGCUCAUCUA